Molecule: unclassified non-coding RNA, 933 nt
Filed under: Hevea brasiliensis (rubber tree)
Lineage: Eukaryota; Viridiplantae; Streptophyta; Magnoliopsida; Malpighiales; Euphorbiaceae
Source: RNAcentral
UUUAUUUUUUUAAUUUAUAAACUGAGCCCAAAAUAUAUUAUAAUUUUCAGAGCUUAUAAUCGUACAAGCAAACGCCCUCACAAACAAUCCUCAAUUGUGGAGGUUUCUAUAAAAAUUAUCUAAAUAAAUAGAGGAACAAAUAUAUCUCAAUCCUCGAUGACUACAUCGCAUGGAAAUAUUGAAUGGAUAUUAUGAUAAUCAUUCUCCAUUUCAGAUUUUUUUUUUCUUAAUAUAAACAUUAUAAUCAGACUAUUUCUUUUGGCAAUGGAUUCCAUUUUUGUGCAAUGAACUAAGCAUAGUCUUUUGGAACAUGCAGUAUAAUUUGAUUAUAGAUUAGAUUUUUAACAGGAGGACAAUCACAGCUUUAAAACAUCUAUUGAAACCCAACCAAGACAAACAACACAUACUAUUCAGAUGAAGAAAACACCCCCAAAUACAAGCCGGUUAGACCUUCAGCAAACGUUACCUCCCGAUCUUCCCCCUGAGCUUAACGCCAAGCACUUUCUCCAUCUUUGCCAAAACGGCCUGGUUAGGAACCGCCUUACCAUUCUCAUACUCCUGUGCCACCUUGGGCUGCUCGUUAAUCAACUUAGCAAGCUCCGAUUGGCUCAUCUUCUUCUCCAGCCGAGCCUUUUGGAUCGCCUGCCUUACCUCCACCGACACCUUUUCCAACGUCGCCGGCUCCGUUCCCUCGUCCAACUUCCUCGCGCUUACCACGGGGGCUGAUUUUUUGUUAGAGCCAGCGUCGAACUUCCUGAUGGCCUGGACCGGCACACCUGACCGUAAGGCUUGGUUCACCGCCUUAGGAUCGCGAAGGUCUUGGGCCUUUGUUUUUGACUUGCGCAGUACCACCGGCUCCCAGUCCUGGCUGAUCACUCCUGUCGAUCUGCUAGGCAUUUUCUUUGCUGCAGAAAUAAAAAAAAAAAAAAAAAA